This 830-nucleotide ribosomal RNA is filed under the name uncultured bacterium. RNAcentral's name for it is "bacterial SSU rRNA". It matches the Rfam family "Bacterial small subunit ribosomal RNA", at positions 683 to 1510 of the family's 1533-position model. The record is from RNAcentral.
GAAAUGCGUAGAUAUUGGGAGAACACCGGUGGCGAAGGCGGCCCCCUGGACCGGUACUGACGCUAAGGCGCGAAAGCGUGGGGAGCAAACGGGAUUAGAUACCCCGGUAGUCCACGCCGUAAACGAUGGGCACUUGGUGUCGCGGGUAUCGACCCCUGCGGUGCCGAAGCUAACGCAUUAAGUGCCCCGCCUGGGGAGUACGGUCGUAAGGCUGAAACUCAAAGGAAUUGACGGGGGCCCGCACAAGCGGUGGAGCAUGUGGUUCAAUUCGAAGCAACGCGAAGAACCUUACCUGGGUUUGAAGAUCAGUCGAUCGGGUGCGAAAUCACCUUUUCCCGCAAGGGACGGCUGGUUAGGUGCUGCAUGGCUGUCGUCAGCUCGUGUCGUGAGAUGUUGGGUUAAGUCCCGCAACGAGCGCAACCCUUGCUGCUAGUUGCCAACGGUUCGGCCGGGCACUCUAGUGGGACUGCCGGUGAUAAACCGGAGGAAGGUGGGGAUGACGUCAAGUCCUCAUGGCCUUUAUGUCCAGGGCCACACACGUGCUACAAUGGCCGGUACAAAGUGACGCGAUAGCGCAAGCUGGAGCAAAUCACAAAAAGCCGGUCUCAGUUCGGAUUGGGGUCUGCAACUCGACCCCAUGAAGCUGGAAUCGCUAGUAAUCGCGGAUCAGCACGCCGCGGUGAAUACGUUCCCGGGCCUUGUACACACCGCCCGUCACAUCACGAAAGUCGGCUGUACCAGAAGCCGGUGUUCUAACCCGCAAGGGAGGAAGCCGCCUAAGGUAUGGUCGGUAAUUGGGGUGAAGUCGUAACAAGGUAGCUGUAGGAGAA